This is a long non-coding RNA of Canis lupus familiaris (dog), 1405 nucleotides long. RefSeq lists it as uncharacterized. The transcript has 3 exons. Lineage: Eukaryota; Metazoa; Chordata; Mammalia; Carnivora; Canidae. The record is from RefSeq and is a predicted model, not a curated record.
GCAGGCGCCAAACCGCUGUGCCACUCAGGGAUCCCGGAUCUCUUUUUUUUUCUGUGUGGUUACUCCCUUGAACCCUCACACGGCCCGAGAGACAAUUAUUGCUGUAUGUCACUGAUCUAAGAUGUCAUCAGCUACAAGGUGUUCCAUUUAUUCUGUGAAGAAAGGAAAGAAAUGCUAUCAUAAAAACCGUGAUAUGUGUUCAGUUGUAUGAUGUGCUCCAAUCUCAGCUCGGUGUGAAGUAACCACUCAGUAUGUUUUGCACAGAGAGAUCAACAGUCUGAAUGGACAUAACCUGACUUCUAGGACCAGACUGGACUCAGCGUGGGUCUAUGUUUUUCAGUAUAGAUCAACAAGGGAAAUUUUUAAAAGAUGUAAGUCCUAAUUCUCAUGUGAACCAAAGGAAGGCUCCUGUCUAGAUUCUUAAUCAGCUCUAUCUUCUACGUUUCCUCUUACUAAAGUGCAGGUAUACUGCAUAUGUGGCCCUCUACAAUCCGCCCAAGCUGGUCCCAGCUCCUCAGAACAGCUGCCAUCAAGUGUCUGUUCUCACACACAUUAUCUGAGCCAGACAUUAUCGUUCCCCCCGGACAUAGGAGGGGAGAGAAGCUGGGAGACAUAAAGAGACUUGCUUCUGAUAACAAAACUAGAAAGUGACAAAUGCUGGACAGAGUCCUACCAAGCCAUCCUCACCGCCACCCCUCCCACAUCAGCAAGCCUUCUCUAAAGAAUGGCAUCAUGGCCUUGUCUCCUGGCCUUAAAUGAUAGUCACAGCAAAGCGAAAAAGGCAGCCAACCAACACCUGUGAGAGUUUUCAGUGGCCUCUAAAAAUGUCUUUUCCCUGAGUCACCUGCAGUCUUUCAUCUUGGGAAUACUGAGUGUUUCAUCAACAUUAUCUCAUUACUCCUCAUUGCCCCAGACUUUUCAAAUAAAUGACUUAAUGUUUGCAGAAAGUCCUUGAGACCUAAACACUACAAGUGCAAUAUGAGGGUACGGCAUUGUCCUACCACCUGAACAGCUGCCACAGAAUCUGUUCAGAGUCUGUCAGAGAACUCUCCUAUGAACAUGUCAGGCUUUUCAUGUCAUGGAGACGGAGGCAGGAAUAGAGGAGGCAGAUUCAACGUGGCUGAUCCUGGUUUGGAAAUGGAAUAAAUCUAUAAAGCAGAGAUGCCUAAAGGGAUUCCACUGGCAACUCUGAUCAACUAGUAAUGCCCUUCUGAUGGGCUGAGAAGGAUCCUGAGGCUAUGCCUGGGUUCAUUGGGAAAGAGUUCGGGAAUGGUUAGUGAUGUCUGUCAUGAAUACAGGACUAGUGAUUUUGGAGCGUAUGUUCCAGAAAUUUGCCCUUCUUGCCAUAGAUCAGUAACUUUACUAUAACCAUCUUUUAGUUCUAGGAGGCAUUUGUUGUUGUUGU